RNAcentral lists this transfer RNA (77 nucleotides) under Candidatus Cloacimonadota bacterium. RNAcentral describes it as "tRNA-Arg". It matches the Rfam family "tRNA". From Rfam's summary of the family: Transfer RNA (tRNA) molecules are approximately 80 nucleotides in length. Their secondary structure includes four short double-helical elements and three loops (D, anti-codon, and T loops). Further hydrogen bonds mediate the characteristic L-shaped molecular structure. tRNAs have two regions of fundamental functional importance: the anti-codon, which is responsible for specific mRNA codon recognition, and the 3' end, to which the tRNAs corresponding amino acid is attached (by aminoacyl-tRNA synthetases). tRNAs cope with the degeneracy of the genetic code in two manners: having more than one tRNA (with a specific anti-codon) for a particular amino acid; and 'wobble' base-pairing, i.e. permitting non-standard base-pairing at the 3rd anti-codon position. The record is from RNAcentral. Lineage: Bacteria; Pseudomonadati; Candidatus Cloacimonadota. RNAcentral also lists the same sequence under 2 other names.
GCGCCAAUAGCUCAGUUGGAUAGAGCAACGGAUUUCUAAUCCGUAGGUCAGGGGUUCGAAUCCCUUUUGGCGUGCCA